GACGGAGGGUGCAAACGUUGUUCGGAAUCACUGGGCGUAAAGGGCGCGCAGGCGGACUCGUAAGUCGGGAGUGAAAACUCGGGGCUCAACCCCGAGCCUGCUUCCGAAACUGCGAGUCUUGAGGACCGGAGAGGAAGGCGGAAUUCCCAGUGUAGCGGUGGAAUGCGUAGAUAUUGGGAAGAACACCAGUGGCGAAGGCGGCCUUCUGGACGGUACCUGACGCUGAGGCGCGAAAGCUAGGGGAGCAAAC
This 250-nucleotide ribosomal RNA is filed under the name uncultured bacterium. Its description in RNAcentral is "partial 16S ribosomal RNA". It matches the Rfam family "Bacterial small subunit ribosomal RNA", at positions 524 to 773 of the family's 1533-position model. The record is from RNAcentral.